GCAUAACGCGAAGAACCUUACCAGGUCUUGACAUCCCUUUGAAUAGCCUAGAGAUAGGCUAGGCCCUUCGGGGACAGAGGAGACAGGUGGUGCAUGGUUGUCGUCAGCUCGUGUCGUGAGAUGUUGGGUUAAGUCCCGCAACGAGCGCAACCCUUGACUUUAGUUGCCAGCACUUUGGGUGGGCACUCUAAAGUGACUGCCGGUGACAAACCGGAGGAAGGUGGGGAUGACGUCAAAUCAUCAUGCCCCUUAUGACCUGGGCUACACACGUACUACAAUGGCCGGUACAACGGGAAGCGAAGUGGCGACAUGGAGCAAAUCCUCAAAAAAUCGUCUCAGUUCAGAUUGCAGGCUGAAACUCGCCUGCAUGAAGUCGGAAUUGCUAGUAAUCGCAGAUCAGCAUGCUGCGGUGAAUACGUUCCCGGGUCUUGUACACACCG
Molecule: ribosomal RNA, 440 nt
Filed under: uncultured bacterium
Lineage: Bacteria
Description: bacterial SSU rRNA
Rfam family: Bacterial small subunit ribosomal RNA
Source: RNAcentral